GAGGGCGUGGGCAAGGGCUCUGCAUUGAGCCAAGUUUGGAAAUAAUAAACAAGAGGCUCAGGGACCAGCAUAGCUUGGAAAGGCUGUGAUGGCCAAGUUGGGAAGUGUGUGCUUGGGUCUCCGAGCAGGCAGGAGGCUCUCCCUGACCCUCAAACUUACUAGCCAUGCUCUCCUGAGGCGGUUUAGCCUACCCCAUCUGUGUUCUGGUUUUCUUGGCUAAUACUUAACCUGCCAUGUGUUAAAUCUUUAAGUCAAAGGUGGGGUGUUUGGGAGCUGGUACAGUUAUCGGGGAGAACUCUUAUGAAUGACAUCAAUGCCCUCAUGAAAGAAACCCAAAUGCUGCCUUCUGCCAUGUGAGAAGACUCCAGUUUAUGAUCCAGAAGUCAGGCCUCACCAGUUAUGGGAUCUGGUAGUGCCUUGGACUUCUCAGCCUUAGGACUGUUCUUUAAAUCCUGUGGCUUAUACACUGCACAGUAGAAGGCAUUUUGUUACAGAUGGACUCUCUCUAGCUCUGACCUCACAGGGCACUAGGGUUUCAGCUUGUUGUUUGGAUGGAUGAUGGCUAUGGGGGAGGGGGAAUUAAGUUGCAAAACCUGUCUUGGGUCUGAGUUCAAAUGUUGACAGUGUUUGCAGAAAUAUCCAUCAUCGCUUUCUCCUCUAGAUAUUUACAGCCCGAAGAGUGAUCCCCUAUGGACAGUGCUCCUGCCAAGAUUAGCUAAGCCUCCUUGUUCACAAGGACACAAUAACGUCAGCUCCCUGUUCAACUGUAUAAAUUAGACAUGCUGAGCUUCCAGGGUGCAGUCUCCAUCGAUAACCCAAGCCACAUGAUCUCGUAUGUGUAUCUGUGGGUCUUCUUUUCUUCAGUCCCUUGCUGUCCCUAGUCAGGGUUGUGGGACCUUCUCCGCACAAGAACAUGGCAACUGGUAAUGAUUAACACAGUAAUUAAAUGCACGUUAGCACUACAGAACUGUGCAUACCUAAAAUCGAAGACAUAUGUAUUUUAUUACAGUAAAAAAUUGGGAGGAAAGGGUCAUGGCAAAAAAAAAAUCUUGAUGGUAUUUAUAAAAGAAGGUUUCUCAAAAGGCAAAAUGUAACAAGCAGUCAAAUACAUAUAACCAAGAAACAGGAGAGAGUUCAAAAUGGAUUUGAUGCAAGUACAGAAAAGUGGUGAACUGAAACCGGAAGGCGGGUGGGUUAAGUAACUGUCAGGAAUUGGGAACAGAGACAAGAUGGAGCACUUGGAUCACAGGCGAAGAGGCACGAGCCGGCACAAGGACCAGAGAGCAGUAAGGACACAGGCAUUGGAGAAUCUUCCAGGAUUGACAAGAGACAUGCAGCUGCACCUCCAGACCUCGGGGACUAAAACAAAGCCACACUGAACCAGUUGGGAAAAAGUAGAAAGCCAAAUGCAGGAAGGCACUCUGAAAGAAGAGAGCUGACGGACAACAGUCAGGAGCUGUUCAGGUGCUCAUGGCUGACUUUUUUAUAAAGCAUAAUCUCAAUCAUCAUCAUCACCACCACCACCACCACCACCACCACCACCACCACCACCACCAUCAUCAUCAUCUUAUUAUUAUUAUUAUUACUAUUAUUAUAUUAUUAUUAUACAUUCCAACCACAAUUCCCCCACUCCCCUCCCAAUCCCCCCACCUCACCUUCAUCCACCUCCCCUUUCUCCCAGAUCCACCACUCCUCCAUUUCCCUUCAGAAAAGGGCCAGCUUCCUAGACAUGUUCUCUCUUAUUAAGCCUGGACGAUGCAGCCCAGUAUAAGGAAAAAGGUCCCACAAGCCAGCAAAAGAGUCAGAGACAGCUCCUGCUCCCACCAUUAGGAGCCCCACAGGAAAACCAAACUGCACAGCUAUAACAUGUAUGCAGAAGGGUUAAGUCAGUCCCAACCAGGCUCUCUGGUUGGCAGUUCAACCUCUGUGAGCCCUUGUAAGCCCAAGUUAGUUGAUUCUGUGGGUUUUCUUGUGGUGUCCUUGACCCCUCUGAUGCUUAUAAUCUCUCCUCCCCCUCUUCUGCAGGACUUCUCAAGCUCUGCCUGAUGUUCUGGUGGGUCUCUCUGUGCCACUUGACUUUUAAUGGAAGCUAAAGAACAGUGGCAUUUUAAGUUCAGUGUGCCAGGAGACAGCAGUGCCAACGUAAAGACCUAGGCUCAGAGGAGACACUGAAGCUGCUAAAUGAAGGUGAUUUACACAGCCAGAAAUAAAUGCAUACACAGAAAUACAGACCCACACUUAAAGAUUGAAUCAACCUCAAGUUGACAGGAAACGCAAGGUCAGAGAUCCAAGAAGGGAAGAAAGGAGAAAUUAGAGCAUAAAUCCAUGUGGACAAGGACCAAAAGGGACACCACAGCUAAUGGAACAGUGCAGAAGAUCUACAAAUUAAAACUCAAGACAACAAAGGCAUUCUGCCUGGGAAAGGCAUCAAAAUGAAGUCUCCUCAGGUCACUGUAUGCUCCAAGGGGGAGUAAUGGGACAGUGGAGUUUUUAAUGAGCUUCAGUAUGUUAACAGUUGUACGGUGCCAUCUGGAGAAUCUUUGAGACCACAGAAGCAGCACAUCCUUGACAGAGAGGUGAGAUGGAGCAGUUAAAAUACUCAAAAUGGCUGAAAAAACUAACCACGAAACAGAUAGUGUUGCAGUUCUGCUCCAGCUGCUGGAAAAUUUCCCUAAUGCAGGUGACAUCCAGUCAGCUACUCAGCCACUAGCUCCUCAGAAACCUGAUCAUGAGCCCAGACGUUGUCCUAAGUGGGGGCUGCACCUGCAGAAAUGCCGAAUUCCCACCACCUCCACCUCCACCACCACCACCACAAAAAAAAAAAAAAAAAAAAAAAAAAGCCUGCCACCCUGGGAAGAAGGAUCUGCCUGGCCUUGGUUCCAGAGUCGUCGUAGCCUUCCCUGGCCCUUUCCUGAAAGUUAGGCCUGCAGGGCCUUCCUGUGGCCACUCCCAGGCCUCCUCUGGGACCAGCAGUUCUUGGGCCAGUUCAGGAACACCGCCCUCUCUUCAGGCUGAACACCUGUUGUUGAGACAAACAGGGCUGCCACUUGGAGUCACACUCCAGGGUGGGUGAUGUUCCAGGAGGGACCCUUCAGGAUGACUGCUGGCAAAGUCUGCAGAGGACAGAGAAGAGUAUAGACCAUCCCUGCUUCCCAGGGAUGCCCUCCCCUCCUUGGCUAGCUAGCCUUGCCAGGACCAGGCUGUGCAGGGGCAAGCCGAGAUUCCUGGUCAGCUGCCCAACUUCCUUGGGAGGCUGGGAGCACACAGUGGAGGAGGUUAGAGUAUCCUGGAUGGUGUGUGACUGCCUACAUGCCUGCCUGCCCACACUCUCCUGUCACCGCUCCCCCUUACUUCCCCCUUCUUGCUUCUGCAGGAAGGUGGCCCUGGCUGGAGGAAGCAGAGAGGCAGGGCUGUUGGCAUUUCCGACUUGUUUGAAGUCAGGAACGCCUGAACACCAAGUGCAAUGUGACCCGAGCUUGGGCCAACUACCCUGAAGCCUGGGGCCAGAGGCUGCUCUGAGUAGAGGCUCUGGCCUACAAGAGAGACUGCUCUAGUCAUGCCAACAUCUGAUCAGAUCAAUCCCAGUUUCGGCUUCUCUAUCCUGACCCAGAUGACAAAGUUCUCCCAACCCCAUGUUUUUUACACUUGUUUUGAGGGCUAUAGGCAUGUCUUUCAUUUCCUGUCAGCCUUCUGGGCAGCUAGGGAUCCUCUUACAGGCAUGGUGGGGGCUGGUGUCCUGGGCAGGACUGCUGUGUGAGCAUCCCUUAUUCUCAGCCCUGGAGGGCUCCCCGAGAAAAGCACCUUGAGACAGCCAUCAUGGAGUUAUAUACAUAAUUGUGGGAGGGACAAGAGAGUCACUAGGGGCAGUCAGGAUAAAUUGCAGGAGGGGUCAUUUGGGAUUUUGUCUGUGCUUACUCUUGCCAUCUGUCCACAGUGUCUCCCUUAGCUCACUUUCUGGUAUGAUGUCUUUAUCUAAGCCUGUGACAGAGUAUGGCCGGAGGUGCUCUUUUAUGCACCGUCUCCAGAUGUCUCUGACUUGUCCUGUGUGAAUGGAGCUGUUGCUUCACCCCCAGCACACCUGACCAGGUGCUGCUUAAGUGCCAGGUUCAGCAGGGCCAGAACCCAGCCAUCUGGACAUUCCCCGCCAGUGAGUAAUGACUGUGCCAUGCCUCAUGGUCUAACACCCUUUUGUGUCCACCACUGGCUAGGCCACUGCCUCCUGGACUCACUUGAAACUUUGGGCCUUUAGCCUGCAGGGAGAAGAGCCUCUUUCUGGCCUCCCAGAAGAGCUGCAGCUGCCAUGUCAGAGGGAGAAUUCCCAGGCCAAGCUUGUGGCCUCCUCCCCACAUAGAGCGUGGAGUCCUCCAAACUGGACUCCUGGGUACAGUGGUCGUGUCUCUGGGAUCUCGUUCCGGUUCUCAUCCCCAGUGGUCCUCUAAAGUUCCUGUGCCUUCUCCACUUCCCAUCCUGCCAUCUAGUACAGACAACAGAUAAUGUUUGUCUCAGGGGCCUGAGAGGCUAGCUAUGUCUGACUCUUGAUAAGCUCUGUAUAAGCUCAGAGGACACUGAGCUUGCCGUGGACGAUUAGGGUCAAGGCUCUGCCUAGAAGCAUUCUCUCUCUGUAUUCCGAGAACCUUUAGGAGACCUGAGCAUGCACCGAGUCUCAAGGACAAGGGGGCAGGUCAGUGGGUGCAUAAUUAUGGAAGGCUUGGUGAGCAAAUAACUUGGCCUGCUUUGUAAAGAAAUACACACCCCACCUCAUGCACGUAUAUCAGGCUGGGAAGAUGGCUUAGUGUUGCCUCAAAAGCACAGGGACAUGAGUUCUAUUCUUGAAACCCUCAUUAAAAAGCCAGGUGUGACGUCAUGAUUGUCAUCCCAGCGCUGAGUAGUAGAGACCAUAUUCCUGGGGACUUGCUGGCCAGGAAGUCUAACUUGCUUGGCCCGAAGUGUAGGAGGUUCUCGUCACCACAAGCACACCAGUCAUGUGCUUCACUAAGUCAUCCUGAUGUCCCAGGGUGAUGGGAAUUUUCAGCUCUAUUGUCACCCCAGGGGACUAUUUCUGCCAGGACUGUAAACACUUACAUAUGUUCAUCAUGCACAUAUUCCCACGUCCGAAUCCACUCUCACGAGACACACAGAGAUGCAGGUACUGUAAGUCAAAGUGAUCCGUCCAACUCAAACCCAACACAAAGCCACAUUUUAUUUUAUGCUUCCUCCUCUCUGAACCUUCAGUUGUCAUCUCUAACAGUGAUGCUCUGUGUCCUAUAAGCCUUGUUGUAAACUUGACACAGCCCAGAGUCCUCUGGGAGGAAAGCCUUGAUUGAGGAAUUACCUAGGUCAGACAGGUCUGGACUUAUGUGUGCAGGAUUGUCUUGAGUACUAAUUGAUGCGGGAGGGCCCAGCCUACUGUGGGCGGUUCUAUACCCAGGCCCUGGGUUGUACAGGAAAGCUAGCUAAGCAUGAGCCUGCAAGCAAGCAAGCAAGCCGGAGAGCGAGCCAGAAAGGAGAGCGAGCCAGCAAGCAGCAUUUCUCCAUGGUUCUUGCCCGGAUGUCCCUUAAUGGUGGACUGUGACCUUGAAGUGUAAGCUAAAUAAACCCAUUCUUUUAAACUGCUUUGUCAGUGUUUCACUAGAAACAAUGUAAUAGAAAGUAACGAGGAGGACGCUCACAUCAGUCCCUGUGCCUUUACUUAUUCAUUCAUUCCUUUCAGAGUUACAAACACACCUGUGAAGAACAAAACCAAGUUCGGAGUUCAGUAUUUAUUUGCCAUUCUUUUUCGUCUAUUUUCCGAGCACGUAGUCAAAGUAGUUCCCUGAAAUUACCUUCUAAAAUUAGUACUAAAGCAACUAGUCUACAUAUAAGCCAUAUAAGUGAAAGGAAAAGAGAAAUAAAAGAUGUGGAAACAAUUAAAA
Rattus norvegicus (Norway rat) is the source of this 5912-nucleotide non-coding RNA. Lineage: Eukaryota; Metazoa; Chordata; Mammalia; Rodentia; Muridae. The record is from RefSeq and is a predicted model, not a curated record.